This 490-nucleotide ribosomal RNA is filed under the name uncultured bacterium. Its description in RNAcentral is "partial 16S ribosomal RNA". It matches the Rfam family "Bacterial small subunit ribosomal RNA", at positions 30 to 507 of the family's 1533-position model. The record is from RNAcentral.
AUUGAACGCUGGCGGCAGGCCUAACACAUGCAAGUCGAACGGUAACAGGAAGCAGCUUGCUGCUUUGCUGACGAGUGGCGGACGGGUGAGUAAUGUCUGGGAAACUGCCUGAUGGAGGGGGAUAACUACUGGAAACGGUAGCUAAUACCGCAUAACGUCGCAAGACCAAAGGGGGGGACCUUCGGGCCUCUUGCCAUCGGCUGUGCCCAGAUGGGAUUAGCUAGUAGGUGGGGUAACGGCUCACCUAGGCGACGAUCCCUAGCUGGUCUGAGAGGAUGACCAGCCACACUGGAACUGAGACACGGUCCAGACUCCUACGGGAGGCAGCAGUGGGGAAUAUUGCACAAUGGGCGCAAGCCUGAUGCAGCCAUGCCGCGUGUAUGAAGAAGGCCUUCGGGUUGUAAAGUACUUUCAGCGGGGAGGAAGGGAGUAAAGUUAAUACCUUUGCUCAUUGACGUUACCCGCAGAAGAAGCACCGGCUAACUCCGUG